AAUAGAUAAUGCCGUUGACUUUUUCUCACAUGUUUGAUCAUUUGUCUUAUUCAAAAAAUUUACGUAAUUAUAAUUUUUGUUAUGAGUUGUUUUAUUACUUAUAGUACUUUAAGUGUGAUUUAUAUCUUUUACAUUUGCAUAAAAUUUUUGAAUAAGACGAAUGAUCAAACAUGUGAGAAAAAAAUCAACGGCGUCAUCUAUU
RNAcentral lists this microRNA precursor (202 nucleotides) under Oryza barthii. Its description in RNAcentral is "MIR812 microRNA precursor family". It matches the Rfam family "MIR812 microRNA precursor family". Lineage: Eukaryota; Viridiplantae; Streptophyta; Magnoliopsida; Poales; Poaceae. The record is from Rfam by way of RNAcentral.